RNAcentral lists this ribosomal RNA (441 nucleotides) under uncultured bacterium. RNAcentral's name for it is "partial 16S ribosomal RNA". It matches the Rfam family "Bacterial small subunit ribosomal RNA", at positions 338 to 794 of the family's 1533-position model. The record is from RNAcentral.
CCUACGGGAGGCAGCAGUGGGGAAUAUUGGGCAAUGGGCGCAAGCCUGACCCAGCAACGCCGCGUGAAGGAAGAAGGCUCUCGGGUUGUAAACUUCUUUUAUCAGGGACGAAGCAAGUGACGGUACCUGAUGAAUAAGGAUCGGCUAACUCCGUGCCAGCAGCCGCGGUAAUACGGAGGAUGCGAGCGUUAUCCGGAUUUAUUGGGUUUAAAGGGUGCGCAGGCGGAGGUGCAAGUCAGUGGUCAAAUUGCGGGGCUCAACCCCGUACUGCCGUUGAAACUGCAUCCCUUGAGUGCGCGAGAAGUAUGCGGAAUGCGUGGUGUAGCGGUGAAAUGCAUAGAUAUCACGCAGAACUCCGAUUGCGAAGGCAGCAUACCGGCGCGCAACUGACGCUCAUGCACGAAAGCGUGGGUAUCGAACAGGAUUAGAUACCCCGGUAGU